This 55-nucleotide non-coding RNA is filed under the name unclassified sequences. RNAcentral describes it as "Li+-I sequence". It matches the Rfam family "nhaA-I RNA". Rfam says of the family: Acidobacteria, Alphaproteobacteria, Betaproteobacteria and Gammaproteobacteria, Verrucomicrobia, cand. division NC10. Downstream gene The record is from Rfam by way of RNAcentral.
GGGUGCACGGUCCUGCCAGGAUCGGCAGGUCUUCGCGCUGGUCGGGCCGCCAGCG